CAUCUAAGUACCUGCGGGAAAAGAAAGAAAACUCGACUCCCAUAGUAGCGGCGAGCGAACUGGGAUCAGCCUAAACCAAUGCAGUGCCAAGGUUACGGCCAUUGCUGCAUCGGUGUCGUGGGACCUACCGGGCCAGCCGUAAGAGGCCCAGGGAGUUACAAAGUAUCAAGAUAGCAGAACGGCAUGGAAAGGCCGGCCGCAGUGGGUGAGAGCCCCGUAUGCGAAAUCUUCGAUGCCUCCCGUAGUCAUCCCGAGUAGCACCAGACACGAGAAACCUGGUGUGAAUCUGGGGGGACCACCCCCUAAGGCUAAGUACUACUGGACGACCGAUAGCGUAAUAGUAGCGCGAGCGAAAGGUGAAAAGUACCCCGACGAGGGGAGUGAAAUAGUACCUGAAACCAUGAACUUACAAGCUGUCGGAGGCCUAUGGCUCCUCGGAGCAAUGGCUGACGGCGUGCCUUUUGCAUAAUGAUCCGGCGAGUUACUCUGUCUGGCGAGGUUAAGGACUUACGGUCUGGAGCCGAAGGGAAACCGAGUGUGAAUAGCGCGAUUACAGUCAGGCGGAGUAGACCCGAAAGCGAGUGAUCUAUCCAUGGGCAGGGUGAAGCGGAUGUAACAGUUCGUGGAGGCCCGAACCAUUGUAGGUUGAAAACUGCUUGGAUGACCUGUGGAUAGGAGUGAAAGGCUAAUCAAACUCGCAGAUAGCUGGUUCUCCCCGAAAUAGCUUUUGGGCUAGCCUCUAGUGAUAGUUAACGGGGGUAGAGCUACUGAUUGGGAUAGGGGCCACACCCGGUACCCUACCCUGUCAAACUCCGAAUACCGUUAACCGUAUCUAGGGAGUCAGACUAUGGGCGAUAAGGUCCGUGGUCGAGAGGGAAACAACCCAGACCACCGGCUAAGGUCCCGAAUACACACUAAGUGCAGAAAAGGAGGUGGGACUUCUACAACAGCCAGGAUGUUGGCUUAGAAGCAGCCAUCAUUUAAAGAGUGCGUAACAGCUCACUGGUCGAGAAGUCCUGCGCCGAAAAUGAACGGGGCUCAAGUGUGUAACCGAAGCCGUGGCUUGCAUGAUUUCGUUGAUUUCAUGCAGGGGUAGGGGAGCGUUCCAAGUGGGUGAAGCGUGACGGUGACGACACGUGGACGCUUUGGAAGUGAUAAUGCCGGAAUGAGUAACGAGAAAGCAGGUGAGAAUCCUGCUCGCCGAAAACCUAAGGUUUCCUGGGCACGGUAAAUCCGCCCAGGGUUAGUCGGACCCUAAGUCGAGGCUGAAAGGCGUAGACGAUGGACAACAGGUUAAUAUUCCUGUACCACCACAGACGCGUUUGACCGAUGGGGGGACGCGGAAGGAAGCGUGAUCGCACUGACCGAAUAGUGCGUACAAGCGUGAGGCCGGCGCAUAGGAAAAUCCGUGCGCGUAAAGCCAGGCGUGAUGUCGAGCUCAUUUGAGCGAAGUCACAGGACUGACCGCCGAGAAAAUCCUCUAGGGAGUUUCUGUGGUGUCCGUACCUAAACUGACACAGGUGGGUGAGGUGAGAAUCCUAAGGCGCUCGAGAGAACCNUUGUGAAGGAACUCGGCAAAUUGACCCCGUAACUUCGGGAUAAGGGGUGCCCUUGGAGGUGUAGGUCUUUUCGACCGAAGCUUUUAAGGGCCGCAGAGAAUUGGCCCGUGCGACUGUUUACUAAAAACACAGGUCUGUGCUAAGUCUUAAAGACGCUGUAUACAGACUGACGCCUGCCCAAUGCCGGAAGGUUAAGAGGAGGGGUUAGCUUCGGCGAAGCUCUGAAUUGAAGCCCCGGUGAAUGGCGGCCGUAACUAUGACGGUCCUAAGGUAGCGAAGUUCCUUGUCGGGUAAGUUCCGACCCGCACGAAAGGCGUAACGAUACGGGCACUGUCUCCACAACGGGCUCGGUGAAAUUGUAGUCGUGGUGAAGAUGCCACGUUCCCGCGUCAAGACGGAAAGACCCCGUGAACCUUUACUGUAGCCUGAUAUUGAGGCUAGUCAUGUAGUGCGUAGCAUAGGUGGGAGACGUUGAAGCCUGGCUUUCGGGUCGGGUGGAGUCACAAUGUGAAAUACCACUCUCUGCAUGGUUGGUCCCUAACACGGUGCCUUGAAUCAGGGCCGUGAACAGUGUCAGGUGGGCAGUUUGGCUGGGGCGGUCUCCUCCUAAAGAGUAACGGAGGAGCGCGAUGGUGCAUUCAGCACGGUUAGCAAUCGUGCGUAGAGCGUAAGGGUAUAAGUGCGCCUGACUGCAAGAGAUAUAGCUCGAGCAGAUACGAAAGUAGGUCCUAGUGAUCCGGCGGAUUCCGAGUGGAAGGGCCGUCGCUCAUCAGAUAAAAGGUACUCCGGGGAUAACAGGCUGAUCUCCCCCAAGAGUCCAUAUCGACGGGGAGGUUUGGCACCUCGAUGUCGGCUCAUC
Molecule: ribosomal RNA, 2418 nt
Filed under: metagenome
Description: bacterial LSU rRNA
Rfam family: Bacterial large subunit ribosomal RNA
Source: RNAcentral